CUUGGUCAUUUAGAGGAAGUAAAAGUCGUAACAAGGUUUCCGUAGGUGAACCUGCGGAAGGAUCAUUAUUGAAGUAAACCUGAUGAGUUGCUGCUGGUUCUCUAGGGAGCAUUGUGCACACUUGUCAUCUUUAUAUUUCCACCUGUGAACCUUUUGUAGACCUGGAUAUCUCUCUGAGUACUUGUGCUCAGGUUUGAGGACUUGACCCUCCUUACAUUUCCAGGCCUAUGUUUCUUCAUAUACCCGAUCUAUGUUAUAGAAUGUAAUAAAUGAGCCUUUGUGCCUAUAAACCUUAUACAACUUUCAGCAACGGAUCUCUUGGCUCUCGCAUCGAUGAAGAACGCAGCGAAAUGCGAUAAGUAAUGUGAAUUGCAGAAUUCAGUGAAUCAUCGAAUCUUUGAACGCACCUUGCGCUCCUUGGUAUUCCGAGGAGCAUGCCUGUUUGAGUGUCAUUAAUAUGUCAACCUCUUCAAGCUUUUGCCUGUUGAGUGUUGGAUGUGGGGGGUCUUUUUUGCUGGCUUCUCUUUCUGAGGUCAGCUCCCCUGAAAUGCAUUAGCGGGAACAAUUUGUUGAUCGUUCAUUGGUGUGAUAAUUAUCUACGCUAUUGACGUUAAGCAGUUCAGCUUCUAACAGUCCAUUGACUUGGACAAAUUUUCAUUAAUGUGACCUCAAAUCAGGUAGGAAUACCCGCUGAACUUAAGCAUAUCAAUAAGCGGA
RNAcentral lists this ribosomal RNA (717 nucleotides) under Thaxterogaster corrugis. RNAcentral's name for it is "eukaryotic LSU rRNA". The stretch from base 299 to 452 matches the Rfam family "5.8S ribosomal RNA". The record is from RNAcentral. Lineage: Eukaryota; Fungi; Basidiomycota; Agaricomycetes; Agaricales; Cortinariaceae.